GAUGAAGAACGUAGCGAAAUGCGAUAAGUAAUGUGAAUUGCAGAAUUCCGUGAAUCAUCGAAUCUUUGAACGCACAUUGCGCCCCCUGGCAUUCCGGGGGGCAUGCCUGUCCGAGCGUCAUUUCUGCCCUCCAGCCCGGCUGGGUGUUGGGCGCUGUCCCCCCAGGGACACGCCCCAAAGGCAGUGGCGGCGCCGCGUCGGGUCCUCGAGCGUAUGGGGCUUUGUCACCCGCUCGGGACGGACUCGUCGGCGCUGGUCUUCCUCCAGGCGACCCUUCGGGGCUCGUCUUCCUUCGGUUGACCUCGGAUCAGGUAGGGUUACCCGCUGAACUUAAGCAUAUCAAUAAGCGGAGGA
This 354-nucleotide unclassified non-coding RNA is filed under the name soil metagenome. RNAcentral's name for it is "partial contains 5.8S ribosomal RNA, internal transcribed spacer 2, and large subunit ribosomal RNA". The stretch from base 1 to 120 matches the Rfam family "5.8S ribosomal RNA", at positions 35 to 154 of the family's 154-position model. The record is from RNAcentral.